Molecule: ribosomal RNA, 408 nt
Filed under: Vibrio sp. P1-22
Lineage: Bacteria; Pseudomonadati; Pseudomonadota; Gammaproteobacteria; Vibrionales; Vibrionaceae
Description: bacterial SSU rRNA
Rfam family: Bacterial small subunit ribosomal RNA
Source: RNAcentral
UGCCCUGAUGUGGGGGAUAACUAUUGGAAACGAUAGCUAAUACCGCAUAAUGUCUACGGACCAAAGAGGGGGACCUUCGGGCCUCUCGCUUCAGGAUAUGCCCAGGUGGGAUUAGCUAGUUGGUGAGGUAAUGGCUCACCAAGGCGACGAUCCCUAGCUGGUCUGAGAGGAUGAUCAGCCACACUGGAACUGAGACACGGUCCAGACUCCUACGGGAGGCAGCAGUGGGGAAUAUUGCACAAUGGGCGCAAGCCUGAUGCAGCCAUGCCGCGUGUAUGAAGAAGGCCUUCGGGUUGUAAAGUACUUUCAGUCGUGAGGAAGGCAAUAUAGUUAAUAGCUGUAUUGUUUGACGUUAGCGACAGAAAGAAGCACCGGCUAACUCCGUGCCAGCAGGCCGCGGUUAAUACG